CUUUAAACCUCACAGAAGCAGAAGCAGAAGAAGAAGAAUGCACCUGUUCUUUUGUGAUUGCUGCCCUGCCCACUAUUUAACUGGAAGGAGAACUAUUCCACACAAUUGUUUAUUCUUUUUCUUUGGUUGUUUUUUCCCAAAUCUUGGGGGACAAUUGUUGUUGCAACAUGGUUUGGUUUCUGAUUCUCAUCUGGUUUGUCCAAGUGGGCGGUGUUCCCAUCACCAAUUUCACAAAUGCUACUACUUCAAAUGCUACUUUCCCUGCCACAGUGGACAAUUCUACAAAUGUGACUUUCACUGCCACAGGUUCUACUGCCUCAAUGGGGCCACAUCACAGACAAAAUGAUUGGGUUAAAAUGGCUGAAACCAGAGAAGGUAACACAUUCAUUAGAUGAAGUGCACUAUCCUGGACCUCUCAUGAGGUUUGGACUUUAUUAAUGGCACUGGAGGUAGUGACUUGUAACCAGGUCAUGUCAGUGUGGUUGUUUCACACCCUCUGUCCCUGUUACAGAGGAC
This is a long non-coding RNA of Oncorhynchus tshawytscha (Chinook salmon), 516 nucleotides long. NCBI's taxonomy places the organism in Eukaryota, Metazoa, Chordata, Actinopteri, Salmoniformes, Salmonidae. The record is from Ensembl.